This 467-nucleotide ribosomal RNA is filed under the name uncultured bacterium. Its description in RNAcentral is "partial 16S ribosomal RNA". It matches the Rfam family "Bacterial small subunit ribosomal RNA", at positions 29 to 507 of the family's 1533-position model. The record is from RNAcentral.
ACGAACGCUGGCGGCGUGCUUAACACAUGCAAGUCGAACGGAAAGGCCCUGCUUUUGUGGGGUGCUCGCGUGGCGAACGGGUGAGUAACACGUGAGUAACCUGCCCUUGACUUUGGGAUAACUUCAGGAAACUGGGGCUAAUACCGGAUAGGAGCUCCUGCUGCAUGGUGGGGGUUGGAAAGUUUCGGCGGUUGGGGAUGGACUCGCGGCUUAUCAGCUUGUUGGUGGGGUAGUGGCUUACCAAGGCUUUGACGGGUAGCCGGCCUGAGAGGGUGACCGGCCACAUUGGGACUGAGAUACGGCCCAGUCUCCUACGGGAGGCAACAGUGGGGAAUAUUGCGCAUUGGGCGGGAGCCUGAUGCAGCAACGCCGCGUGCGGGAUGACGGCCUUCGGGGUGUAAACCGCUUUCGCCUGUGACGAAGCGUGAGUGACGGUAAUGGGUAAAGAAGCACCGGCUAACUACGUG